This 72-nucleotide transfer RNA is filed under the name Bos taurus (domestic cattle). It matches the Rfam family "tRNA". Rfam says of the family: Transfer RNA (tRNA) molecules are approximately 80 nucleotides in length. Their secondary structure includes four short double-helical elements and three loops (D, anti-codon, and T loops). Further hydrogen bonds mediate the characteristic L-shaped molecular structure. tRNAs have two regions of fundamental functional importance: the anti-codon, which is responsible for specific mRNA codon recognition, and the 3' end, to which the tRNAs corresponding amino acid is attached (by aminoacyl-tRNA synthetases). tRNAs cope with the degeneracy of the genetic code in two manners: having more than one tRNA (with a specific anti-codon) for a particular amino acid; and 'wobble' base-pairing, i.e. permitting non-standard base-pairing at the 3rd anti-codon position. The record is from Rfam by way of RNAcentral. Lineage: Eukaryota; Metazoa; Chordata; Mammalia; Artiodactyla; Bovidae. RNAcentral also lists the same sequence under 1 other name.
UCCUUGAUAGCUCAGUUGGUAAAGAAUCCGCCUGCAAUGCAGGAGACCCGGGUUUGAUUCCUGGGUAGGGAA